This 1042-nucleotide ribosomal RNA is filed under the name Vibrio sp. 8010. Its description in RNAcentral is "bacterial SSU rRNA". It matches the Rfam family "Bacterial small subunit ribosomal RNA", at positions 384 to 1421 of the family's 1533-position model. The record is from RNAcentral. Lineage: Bacteria; Pseudomonadati; Pseudomonadota; Gammaproteobacteria; Vibrionales; Vibrionaceae.
UGAUGAGCCAUGCCGCGUGUGUGAAGAAGGCCUUCGGGUUGUAAAGCACUUUCAGUCGUGAGGAAGGUGGUGUAGUUAAUAGCUGCAUAUUUGACGUUAGCGACAGAAGAAGCACCGGCUAACUCCGUGCCAGCAGCCGCGGUAAUACGGAGGGUGCGAGCGUUAAUCGGAAUUACUGGGCGUAAAGCGCAUGCAGGUGGUUUGUUAAGUCAGAUGUGAAAGCCCGGGGCUCAACCUCGGAAUUGCAUUUGAAACUGGCAGACUAGAGUACUGUAGAGGGGGGUAGAAUUUCAGGUGUAGCGGUGAAAUGCGUAGAGAUCUGAAGGAAUACCGGUGGCGAAGGCGGCCCCCUGGACAGAUACUGACACUCAGAUGCGAAAGCGUGGGGAGCAAACAGGAUUAGAUACCCUGGUAGUCCACGCCGUAAACGAUGUCUACUUGGAGGUUGUGGCCUUGAGCCGUGGCUUUCGGAGCUAACGCGUUAAGUAGACCGCCUGGGGAGUACGGUCGCAAGAUUAAAACUCAAAUGAAUUGACGGGGGCCCGCACAAGCGGUGGAGCAUGUGGUUUAAUUCGAUGCAACGCGAAGAACCUUACCUACUCUUGACAUCCAGAGAACUUUCCAGAGAUGCAUUGGUGCCUUCGGGAACUCUGAGACAGGUGCUGCAUGGCUGUCGUCAGCUCGUGUUGUGAAAUGUUGGGUUAAGUCCCGCAACGAGCGCAACCCUUAUCCUUGUUUGCCAGCGAGUAAUGUCGGGAACUCCAGGGAGACUGCCGGUGAUAAACCGGAGGAAGGUGGGGACGACGUCAAGUCAUCAUGGCCCUUACAAGUAGGGCUACACACGUGCUACAAUGGCGCAUACAGAGGGCGGCCAACUUGCGAGAGUGAGCGAAUCCCAAAAAGUGCGUCGUAUCCGGAUUGAAGUCUGCAACUCGACUCCAUGAAGUCGGAAUCGCUAGUAAUCGUGGAUCAGAAUGCCACGGUGAAUACGUUCCCGGGCCUUGUACACCCCGCCCGUCACCCCAUGGGAAGUGGCUGCAAA